This is a non-coding RNA of Tetranychus urticae (two-spotted spider mite), 2427 nucleotides long. Lineage: Eukaryota; Metazoa; Arthropoda; Arachnida; Trombidiformes; Tetranychidae. The record is from RefSeq and is a predicted model, not a curated record.
AUCAACUGAUUGUAUCUUUUAAUAACAUUUGCAUCCAAGUUUGGAUGAAUGGAACAAUUGAUUGGCUGUAAUUGAUCAAAUUGUAAUGGUGAUACUGGCUUUGAUUAAGGAAUUAACCAUAUAAAUACAAAAAAUGCGUAAAGGGAAAUAUUCAAGUUAACCUGUUAACUUUCAACAUGAUUAUCUGAGCACCAUUUAACCUACCAAACUGUUAUUACAAUUAGAUUAGAUUUGAAUGCGGAAACCUGGAUGUUGCAUCUGUAAAUCAAUUUACGGUUAAGUUUCAUCAAGUGUAAAUGAAAGAGUAGUGAGUUAAUUACAGUCUGAGAUUGUGAUUAUUGACGUUAUUUACAUAAUUCAAUAUGACCUUUACAUGGGAACAAAUUGAUUGAAGAAGUGAUAAUCGUAAAGGGGAAAAAAGGAGAACAGGAAAAGGAUGAUAAAUCAAUAGGAUGGUGAAGAUGGAGGAGGAUGGAAAAGGUGAAGAUGAAGGUGCAUUUUGUAAUUGUAAAUGAUAAAGAUCGUAUAUUUGAUGCAAUGAAUAUCCAUAUAUGUAUUGAUAUCCAGGAAACUCGAGAAUCCGGAAUGAAAACAGAAUCAACAAGCAACAAAAGGCAUAAAAGGACUAAUGAUGAUGAAAACUGAUUAGAUGUUUUUCAUUCGACUAACAAGUUGUAUGAUGAUGAUAUACUUCCGCCGUGAUGUAAAAUGAUUUGGUUAACUGCCUCAAGGUAUGAUUACGUAUGAUUGUUUCCAGUUGUUUUUUUUGCCUCACAUUUUACUAUCUUUGGUCAUUCGGAUGAUAAUGAUGGUGGAAACAAAACACAACUCAAAAAAACACUGAUGCUAACCUUGAAAGAAGAUACCAAAAACCAGUAAAACAUAAGCACGGAAGAUACCAAUUGAUAAAAGAGAGAAGCAAGUUUGUCACUUAUGAUGAUGUGUUUGACGAUAAAAGAUGAAUUAUAUUCAACUUAAUUGCUGGAAUUAUCAUUUCAAGUUUACUCAAGUAUCAACAUUUACCUUGAUUGUCACUGGCCAUCAAUUGAAGAGGUUAAUUAAUCAUUUUACGAUUGAGCUUUCGGGUUGAAAAAUGGUGUUUAUUCAAGAUGACUUUGGAAACUAUUGGAGUCUGAAAAUGCUAAGGAAUGAUCAACUGCAGGAAAUAAUAUUUCACUUGAACAUUUCCUGAAGAGAAAAGUGAAAAAGUCAUUAAAACAAAUCGACAGAAAGACGUCUCUUUUAUAACAAUAAUAAUAGCAAUCAUAUUUAACCAUUUAUAUCAUCAAGAGGAUCCAAAGGAGAAGCAAAAUUGAAUCAAAGUAAAAGUGAUGAUCAAUGUUGGAGUAACUAACAAAAGUAAAACAAAUAUCUGGAUACUUGAUAAAUCAAUUAAUUAAUGUUCACAAGAAUGGGAAUCAAUUAACGUAUCAAAUGUUGAAAUGCUCAAGCUAAAUCCUAAAUUAAUUGAUUGGUAUCUCGGUAAAAAUGUAGUGUUGUUAAAAAAUUAAGCUAAAUGAUGUUGAAUGGUUGAAACUUUCACCAGAUUAAGAUACAAGUUACAAGGCAACUUAUUUUUUGUUUGCUGCUUCGCCUGCUCAUUCAACUGUACCUUGAUUUUACCCUCUCUUAUCCAGAGUUUAUCAAUCCCUUAUUGGGUUGGGAUGAGAAAGAUGAUGUUGAUGAGACAAAUGAAAGAGAAAGCUUUUUCUUGUUCAUCAUCAUGAUAACUUUUUACCUACAAACCGGUUUACCAAUUCUGAUCAUCAUUUUAUCUCUUCUCUCUCUUUUUGUUGUUGUUCAUCUUUUUCCAACUCUUAAACUCAACAAUGUUGACCGGUCGAUCGAUGAUCUUAACCCUGACCGUAAACCUAUUAAAUAGACAAUUUUCAAUUUAAUCGCUUAACCCAAAAUUUGGUUUCCCAAAAUCUCAAGGUUCCGAUUCCUCCAUCAAAUCUACUUGCUUUUUUCCCAUCUUCAUCUCCAUCUCCAUCUUCCAGAUCAUCAUCAUUCCCUUCUCCUGCUUUCUCACCCAAUCUCUUUCAUUAUACUGAUUACUCCUUGUAUUUUUUCCUUCUCACCGUCCUCAUCAUUUUUGAUUAUAACUUCAAUAUUAACCAGGACCAACAGCAUGAAGAAAAACUUGAAUCAAGAUUUGAAUGAGUCACCAGAUCCUUUUUUUUAUAAGCUGCACAUUUUGUUGUCUUUCCAAGUUGUAUUAUUCAAAAAGGCAAGCUUAAAUUGAAAGUUAUAAGAUUCAAUGUUGAGAUUAGUUUAAAUAUUGUCACCAAUCAUGAUUAUAUCAAGAUACAAUUUCCAAUAUCAUCCUUGUCCGGAUUUGGCUUGGUCUUUUAUAUUAAUUUCCUUUCUCAGGGGAAAAAAGACGAUAAAGAAAAUGGAAUAAAUCUUUGCGUGUUUUCACUUUAC